Molecule: long non-coding RNA, 625 nt
Organism: Dermacentor silvarum
Lineage: Eukaryota; Metazoa; Arthropoda; Arachnida; Ixodida; Ixodidae
Exons: 3
Source: RefSeq, a predicted model, not a curated record
UUAAUUUUCACCUCUUGCGCGCCUUACAACGUGUCUUUAUACAACGUGCACGAGCAGAAUUUUGUAUUCUGCCUAAACGACGAUGCAGCCGCCGUGGCCGGGUGAGAAUUCUUCAUCCCGCGAACUCCUACUUAGUGGAAGACCAUCGUAGCAACUGAGCCACUUGAGAGAGCGCGGAAACUUGGAUCACGUGACCCCGCUCCGCCGCCGCUGCGAAAGCUUGCGCGGCUUGAACGUCGCACAGAUUUUAGGAAUAAAUAAGGAGGUGUUGGCAGCAAAAUAUGGUGUGAAAUAAAGAGGGAAGAUUGCCGAAUAAAUUUUUGACACGCAGUUGUUACGGCGAAGAUAAACAACGUCUAAGGGCUGCAGAGGACUCAUUGAGCAUCACUGUAGAAAGGUCACGUCCCGGCAGUUGAUGUCGCGUGCGGAAGGCCGUUGACCAGUCAGAAGAGGAAGAACGAUCCACAACGCGCGUCUUCAUCUUGUGUUAUUAGUGUCGUAAUAAAUUCGACCGUCGGGCAGCGUUGGUGCGUCAGGCAUUUCCCCACUGUACCAACUUUCGAUAUGUCAGAAGGCGGUCAUGAUAGUGUCUGACCUUGUAAGUAAUCCGGCAGCGACCUAUGAU